GGUAGAGGGAAAUGAAAAGAUCAAAAUGAAUGGAUUAAACUUGUAAUAAAUUAUUGUAACUUGGAUUGUAUUCGGAAGUUGGAAAAAUGUAAUAGUAACUGUGAUGUAAGAAUGUAUCUAGUAUGAAUGCUUGUAAUAGCAAGUAGUUUUAUGUUUUUGAUACUUUCUUAUGCAAUCUUUGAUUGAAAUGUGUUCAUGGUUGGAAUCUCGUACAUUCUAUCGAUUGCGAUGCCUAGAACGUACAGCAAAAACUCUGUCCGUUCGGCGGUCUGUUGACGUGCCCGAACCUGACCAAAUAGGCGGGGCACGGGGCGUGACAACAUCUCUUUAGAGAGAAUAAAGAGAUUACUAAAAGAAAAAAUCUU
This 365-nucleotide long non-coding RNA is filed under the name Ananas comosus (pineapple). Its description in RNAcentral is "long non-coding RNA (ACOM_LNC003649)". Lineage: Eukaryota; Viridiplantae; Streptophyta; Magnoliopsida; Poales; Bromeliaceae. The record is from RNAcentral.